AUUAGUUUGACUUAAUUAAAAGUAACCUGUUCACUUAGAUUGUUCUUAGUAUGAGGUGUUCUCGUACUAAGUAGAGUCUAAGAGAACAAGAUAAUUUUAAAAUUUAAUU
This 109-nucleotide microRNA precursor is filed under the name Arabidopsis halleri. RNAcentral's name for it is "mir1887". The stretch from base 27 to 89 matches the Rfam family "MIR1887 microRNA precursor family". Lineage: Eukaryota; Viridiplantae; Streptophyta; Magnoliopsida; Brassicales; Brassicaceae. The record is from RNAcentral.